CCUUUACAGUUUUUUCACUUAGGUUAAUUCAAUUUACAUUGCCAAAAAUUCCCUCCACUGCCAAAAUUUUAUUCCCCGCCUAACGCAAACCUUCGCCUUCUUGCUUCCUUCUUCCCGUUGCACCGCCGUGCUUGGGGUUGCUGCUUGCUCCGUUCUUGGCUCUCUAUUCUUCGCUGCUUGCUCUGUUCUUGGCUCCGUUCUUGGAUCCGUUCUUGGCUCCGUUCAUUGUUUCAUUCAUUCCUCCGUUCAAUUGCUCCGUCCUUGGCUCCGUUCUCGGCUUUGUUCUUCGCUCCGUUCUCCUUUCUUGCCUUCGCCGUUCUUGCACUGUCAUUUUCUUGCACCUUCGUCGCUCGUGCACCGCCGUCGCUCCUGCAACGCCGUUCUUCUUGCACCGCCACCGCCGUCGCUUAUGCUUUGUUCUUCGAGCGAUACGAUUCAACUUGGAGCUAGUGAGGAGUGUAGCGAUCGAAAUUAAUAGCUUGCUUUGAUAUUGGAAUUCAUGAACAAACCAAGGGAGCGUUCCUUCACGACUGAUGAAAUAAAAUGUGUUCGAGACAAGUUGGCACGAUUUAUUACUAAUGAAUGUCUUUGAUUGUUCUCUUUAAUUUUUUAGCAUUAUUAUGAAUCUAAUAUUGUAGUUUGCUACCUUUUUCCAUUAACAAUUUAGAUACAAUAUGUUUUAUCCCGUUGUUUGAUGUUUAUUUUGAUUUUUUUUCACUUGUGUUUUUGAAUGGUGUAUGGAUGAACCAAGGGCAUGUUUA
Spinacia oleracea (spinach) is the source of this 761-nucleotide long non-coding RNA. RefSeq lists it as uncharacterized. The record is from RefSeq and is a predicted model, not a curated record. The transcript has 3 exons. Lineage: Eukaryota; Viridiplantae; Streptophyta; Magnoliopsida; Caryophyllales; Amaranthaceae.